This is a non-coding RNA of Arachis ipaensis, 968 nucleotides long. NCBI's taxonomy places the organism in Eukaryota, Viridiplantae, Streptophyta, Magnoliopsida, Fabales, Fabaceae. The record is from RefSeq and is a predicted model, not a curated record.
UCCAACAGCCUUCGCCAUGAAGCUUGAUGUAGUUGAUGAGGCGCUCAUCUUCCUCUUUCGUCCAAGCUCCUUUGUUUGUGUGCUCUUUCUCACAACAAGGAGAUCUACCCAUGAUGAUGAUAGUGAUGAAGAAAUUGAUAGCGUUGUUCUUUUGGAGAAAGAGGACAUUAAGAAAGGAAAGGAAGUCUGUACUAACAGUCUUGUUGGUAGAAUAUCUUCAGAGAGAAAAUUUUUAGUUGGUACAAUGGAAAGUGCCAUGAAAGCGAUCUGGGAGAAUCCCGAUGAAUUUCGAGUGGUGGAAAGACUAAAGAACCAAUUCUAAUUUUUCUUCAAUUCUGAAACGGACAUAAUGAGGGUGGAAAACAGUUCCCAUGACUCUUCAAGGACUAUGUCCUUUAUGUAAGAAGAUGGUGUGAGGCUGACUAGGAGAACAAGAACAAAAUCUAAUCCUUCCCAACUUGAAUUCAACUUUGGGGAGUUCUGGAGAGCUUCAAGACACUGGAGGUUGCAAGAAAAUUUGGAUGCAAUAUAGGUGAGGUGUUGGAUGUAGGCUUUUUUGAAAUCAGGGGUGUGGAAUCUAGAAUUGUCAAGGCAAAAGUUAAAAUCAAGGCGGAUUAAAGGGUUAAGGAUAUAGUGAGGCUUGUUAUUCCAAAAUGAAAAAUCAUGGAAAUAGGCAUACGGUAUGAAAGAUGUGGCAAAUUCUACACAUAUUGUGCUCAUUUGGGACAUCAACCGAGAGUUUGCAAUAUACUAAUGAAAAACACUGCAGAGAAUAGGGUGAGAUAGAAUAAGAUUGGUGAUUGGCUUAGGCAGAUUAGAUAGGCAAAAGAGUGGAGACUGAGAAAAACGGCAACUCGGGUAAUCAUUCUGAACAAUAGCAGCAGAGGAAUAAAUCCAUGAAGAAACCAAUCCCAGUUUGGCUACUUAAUAGCUUUUCAAGUCUAUCACUCACAGAGAAUAAAAUAGAU